UCCUCUAUCAUCACUUCGUAAUUGAUUAUCAUUUGAAUUUGAUACACCGACAUUGUUGUGGAUAUCAAAAGGCAAUGAGCCAAACAUCAAAUUGGUCCGUACCUGCUGAUGAGCUGAGUUUAAUUUGGGAUUCGUACCAAAAGAGCCUACCUUUUUAACAUCGUCUCCACCAAAUAAGUUACUCUGAUUGAGUUGAUAAUUCUGCUGGUAGGUCUGAUCAAAUCCAGGUCGUGGUGGCGAUGCAGAGGACAAAUUAGGGUUAGGGUUUUGGAGGAAAAAAUUAUGAGGAGCAAAAUGGGUAGGAGACUGAGACCAAGGGGAUCGAUGGGAGAGAUGCUCGUGACCAUUAGGAACAUUGGAUUGGUACAAUGGCGGCGCGAAGGAGAUGCUGGGUCCCACGAUGGCAACGGCGGGAUCGUGAGGCAGAUUUUGAGCUGGUGGUUGUUGUGCUUGCUGACGGGGUUGUUGCGGCGGAUUUCGCAGCAACUGGAGGAUAAAUUCGCCGCUAUUCACCGACGAUGACGGCGGCUGAGCUUCGCCUCCACCGCCUGACAUUGUGAGGGAGGUUUUACAAAGAUUUGAAGUAAUGGGACAAGGCGACUAAUGUAUGGAAUUUAUAUAUAUAUAUAUAUAUAUAUANNNNNNNNNNNNNNNNNNNNNNNNNNNNNNNNNNNNNNNNNNNNNNNNNNNNNNNNNNNNNNNNNNNNNNNNNNNNNNNNNNNNNNNNNNNNNNNNNNNNGUGGGAUGCUUUUUGCAAAUCUAUACAUGACUUAACAAGUGUUUCCAUUAUGAAGUGCUACAUAAAUAGGUGAGACAAGAAAUUGCCUUCAUUAGGAGCAUGUCAUGUGACAUGAUAGCCAAUUAGUAGACCUCAGAUGGAGCAUGAACUUAAAAUUCCAAACAAUCAAUGAAUACGUACGAAUGAGCGGUAGUGUAAUACAAGCAUAUAUAUACAUACCUCUAUUAAUUUUACUUGGUAUUGAUUAGUACAGUUCUAAUCUUUGCUAUGAAACUAGUAAACCCCAUCAGCCAGUACAUAUUAAUGGUUUUGCAUGAACUAAAAAAUUUUGAUGAUGUGCCCCUUGGGCUGAAUUCCAAGCUUGUGAUAAAAGGAUGCUACAAUUAAUCACUGUUUUUAUUUCAAACACAACUUUACUUACAAAUAUCAAUAAAGGAAAAGGAAAAAUGAUUUAAUUAAUAUGAUCGGUUCAGUAAGCAAAGCCUGUAUGAGCAAAGCCAUUUACCUUAUCACGCUUCUUUUUAACACUUGUCUCAGCAGAUUCAUCUUCAAGAACUAAUGUGCCCAUAACCCGUUCAUCUAAAUCUUCCAAUUCUCUCUGAACUUGAUCACCUUCUCUCCUCAUCGGAUCGCCUCUAACCUCACCAUGCAGUUCCAACAAAGACUCUUCAAACUCUGGUGCAGUAACUGAAUGCAGAUUACUUCCUGCAGGCGAACCAGGGCUAUAAAGCUGGCCAAUAAGCGUUCUUUCACCAGACAUUCUGCCACUCAUUGCUCUUCCUUUCUCCUCAGUAACUGAAUUGACAUUCCUAUGAUUCAAUUCACCAAAUUUACCCUUUCCCUUACUCCUAUUCCGCGCAAAACUACCACUUUUAUUCCCCAAAGUUCUAGGGUUGCUAUAAAACCCUGGUGGCGGGCACCUCACAGAUGUUUCCACCCACCUGUUACUACCACCACCACCAUGAUCCCCAAAUGCAUGCGCAUUUAGUUCCUUAUUUCGAUUUAAUUCAAGAGAUAUUUGAAACUCGUUUUCCAAACCAUUCUGAAUUCUGUUCCCUAAACCCCCUCCUCUAUCAUCACUUCGUAAUUGAUUAUCAUUUGAAUUUGAUACACCGACAUUGUUGUGGAUAUCAAAAGGCAAUGAGCCAAACAUCAAAUUGGUCCGUACCUGCUGAUGAGCUGAGUUUAAUUUGGGAUUCGUACCAAAAGAGCCUACCUUUUUAACAUCGUCUCCACCAAAUAAGUUACUCUGAUUGAGUUGAUAAUUCUGCUGGUAGGUCUGAUCAAAUCCAGGUCGUGGUGGCGAUGCAGAGGACAAAUUAGGGUUAGGGUUUUGGAGGAAAAAAUUAUGAGGAGCAAAAUGGGUAGGAGACUGAGACCAAGGGGAUCGAUGGGAGAGAUGCUCGUGACCA
Molecule: long non-coding RNA, 2151 nt
Filed under: Panax ginseng (ginseng)
Lineage: Eukaryota; Viridiplantae; Streptophyta; Magnoliopsida; Apiales; Araliaceae
Description: long non-coding RNA (PGIN_LNC016905)
Source: RNAcentral